UUGUGUGAGGUUUCUUUUUGUUUCACAAAGCAGAGCGACCCAAAUCUUCCUCUUUGGGUCCACCAACUUGUGAAAUAAAAAGAAGCCUCACACAACU
Molecule: non-coding RNA, 97 nt
Organism: Solanum tuberosum (potato)
Lineage: Eukaryota; Viridiplantae; Streptophyta; Magnoliopsida; Solanales; Solanaceae
Source: RefSeq, marked provisional